RNAcentral lists this ribosomal RNA (773 nucleotides) under uncultured Neocallimastigales. RNAcentral's name for it is "partial large subunit ribosomal RNA". It matches the Rfam family "Eukaryotic large subunit ribosomal RNA", at positions 24 to 631 of the family's 3401-position model. The record is from RNAcentral. Lineage: Eukaryota; Fungi; Neocallimastigomycota; Neocallimastigomycetes; Neocallimastigales.
UAUGGAUCGUCUCUCGCAUAUCAAUAAGCGGAGGAAAAGAAACUAACAAGGAUUCCCCUAGUAACGGCGAGUGAAGCGGGAAGAGCUCAAAUUUGAAAUCUUAAAGGGUUUCCCUUUACGAAUUGUAGUUUAAAGAAGUGUUUUCUGUUGAGGUUUUGGUAAAAGUUCUUUGGAAUAGGACAUCAUAGAGGGUGAGAAUCCCGUAUUUGACCUUUACUUUCAACUUUGUGAUACACUUUCAAAGAGUCGGAUUGUUUGGGAAUGCAGUCCAAAAUGGGUGGUAGAUUUCAUCUAAAGCUAAAUAUUGGCGAGAGACCGAUAGCGAACAAGUACCGUGAGGGAAAGAUGAGAAGAACUUUGAAAAGAGAGUUAAACAGUACGUGAAAUUGUCAAAAGGGAAGCGUUUGACACCAGUGUUGUUUUUCUGAAAAUCAAUUAAAGAACUGUUUAUGCUAAGUUGUUUAGACUUUAUCAGCUAACUGCUUAGUUUUGAGCUUUUCUUUAAUGCACUUUUCAGUUAACAAGUCAACAUCAAUUUCUUUUGCUGUAAAAAAGCUUGAGGAAGGUGGCUUGAGAUUCGUCUUAAGUGUUUAUAGCCUCUUGCCUAUGCAGUCGGAGAGAUUGAGGUCUGCAGCGUAGAUCCUUCGGGGCUAAAUGCAUUUGUGCUAAGUUAUAGCAUUUUAUAGACAACUUGUUGACUAUGAUUUGUCUUGUAGCUUACUCGCUUAUGUUAUUUUACCUACGCUUAGGAUGUUGAUCUACAGAGCGAGAGU